UAGGGAAUCUUCGGCAAUGGACGAAAGUCUGACCGAGCAACGCCGCGUGAGUGAAGAAGGUUUUCGGAUCGUAAAACUCUGUUGUUAGAGAAGAACGUUGCAUAGAGUGGAAAAUUAUGCAAGUGACGGUAUCUAACCAGAAAGGGACGGCUAACUACGUGCCAGCAGCCGCGGUAAUACGUAGGUCCCGAGCGUUGUCCGGAUUUAUUGGGCGUAAAGCGAGCGCAGGUGGUUUAAUAAGUCUGAUGUAAAAAGGCAGUGGCUCAACCAUUGUGUGCAUUGGAAACUGUUAGACUUGAGUGCAGUAGAGGAGAGUGGAAUUCCAUGUGUAGCGGUGAAAUGCGUAGAUAUAUGGAGGAACACCGGUGGCGAAAGCGGCUCUCUGGACUGUCACUGACACUGAGGCUCGAAAGCGUGGGUAGCAAACAGGAUUAGAUACCCUGGUAGUCCACGC
Molecule: ribosomal RNA, 454 nt
Filed under: uncultured bacterium
Lineage: Bacteria
Description: partial 16S ribosomal RNA
Rfam family: Bacterial small subunit ribosomal RNA
Source: RNAcentral